AAAGUCGUAACAAGGUCUCCGUUGGUGAACCAGCGGAGGGAUCAUUACGAAAGGAGUAUUCCGUACUCUACAACCCUUUGUGAACCUACCUUUUAAUAGUUGCUUCGGCGGGAGGCCCCUGGGAGGGGCCCCGGGGCCCGGACCUGAGCCGGGCUCCCGCCGGAGGAGCGCAACCAAAACUCUUGCUGUACCCCAGUGGCACCUCCGAGUCAAACAAAAUAAAAACAAGUUAAAACUUUCAACAACGGAUCUCUUGGUUCUG
This 262-nucleotide unclassified non-coding RNA is filed under the name Ascomycota sp. RNAcentral describes it as "partial contains small subunit ribosomal RNA, internal transcribed spacer 1, and 5.8S ribosomal RNA". The stretch from base 1 to 47 matches the Rfam family "Eukaryotic small subunit ribosomal RNA", at positions 1785 to 1831 of the family's 1831-position model. Lineage: Eukaryota; Fungi; Ascomycota. The record is from RNAcentral.